GAGUGGGAAUGGGGUGAGGAAUAAAAGACUACAAAUUGGGUGCAGUGUACACUUCUCGGGUGAUGGGUGCACCAAAAUCUCAGAAAUCACCACUAAAGAACUCAUUCAUGUAACCAAACACCACCUGUUCCCUAAUAAUCUAUGGAAAUUAAAAAAAGUUUUAAUCUUUAAAAAAUAAAAAAAGAAAGAACCAUCCCAAACCUAAUAAUUAGAAUUGGCAAAAAUAAAUUAGCUUACUGUAAAUAAGUUAGUAAGAAUUGGUUCAGUAGAUUUCAAGCUACUUAUUAGAGAUUGUGUAUUUUGAAAUUAGAAACCGUAUAAUUUUGAAUAUCAAGUUACAGAGGAUGAGAGGAUUAUUAAAAAGUUGAUUAUUAAAAAAGUAAUCUGAGAAUAUGAAGAAUAAUCUCAAAUUUAUCAAUAAUUUGUUGUAUCACUUGAAAGCGAAUCAUUUAAAUUAAAAUAAAUAAAUAAGAUUAUAAAUAAACAAACAGUAGCAUUAUUACUUCACUUAAACAGUACUUCUUAUGGUGUAAAUAUUGACUCCAUUGUGGAGGUUCAGUUGAGAAUUGUUUUUAACUAUUUUCUAAAGACUUUGUGUACAAUUUACUUAAUUAUAUCCUUGAAUGUCUGAUCCAAUUCACCAACUGAACUCUUUAGUACUGGAAUUUCUUUUCUUUACUGUUAUUAUUAUUUUUUUGAGACAGGGUCUUGCUUUGUUGCACAGGUUGGAGUAAAUGUGCAAUCUUAACUCACUGCAGCCUUCACUUGCCCAGUUAAAUUGAUCCUCCACCUCAGUCUUAUGAAUUCCUGGGACUACAAGCAUACGCCACCAGACCUGGCUAAUUUGUAUGUGCUUUCUGUUGUUGUUGUUGUUGUUGUUGUUGUUUUCUCCUAGAGAAAAGUUCUCACUAAAUUGCGCAGGCUGGUCUGGAACUCCUGGGCUCAAGCAAUCUUCCUGCAUCAGCCUCCUAAGGUGUUGGAAUUACAGGCCUGAGCCACUGUGCCUGGCCUAGAAUUUUUUUAUAGAAAGUUAUUUUUUAAUAAUGAGUUUAAUUUAAUUAAUAUAGUUAUUCAGAUUUUCUGUUUUAUCUUUUAAUUUUGGUAAGUUGCAUUUUUUCAGAAAUGUGUGCCUUUUACUCAGUUGUCACAUUUGUCAAUAUAAAGUUAUAUUCCCUUAUUACGGUUAUAAUAUGUGAAGGGAUAAAACCUGCUUUAUUCCCAACAUUACUGGAUUAUUUUUAAUUCAUUUUUUUGACCAAUGUAGCACAGGCUUGAUCAAUGUUGUUUAAAGUAAAUAGCUUUUGACUUUGUUAAUUUUUUUCUAUUUCACUGACGUAUGCUCGCAAAUUUACUAACGAGUCAUUCUAUGAAAGAGAAACAUGCACAUGCACAUUUAUAGUAGCACAAUUCUCAAUGGCAAAUACAUGAAAUCAACCUAAAUACCUAUGAACCAAUGAAUGGAUAAAGAAAACACGGUAUAUAUACACCGUGGAAUACUACUGAGCCAUCACACGAAAUGAAAUGAUGGCCUUUGCAGCAACUUGGGUGGAGCUGGAGGCCAUUAUUCUAAGUGAAGUAACUCAGGAAUGGAAAACCAAAUAUUGUAUGUUCCCACUUACAAUAAGUGGGAGCUAAGCUAUGAGGAUGUAAAGGCAUAAGAAUGGUAUAAUUAACUUUGGAAAUACAGGAAGCAAUUUGGGAGGAGGUUGAGGGAUAAAAGACUACAUAUUGGGUACAGUGGACACUUCUCGGGUGAUGGGUUCACCAGUCUCAGAAAUCACCACUAAAGAAUUUAUCUAUCUAACCAAAAACCACCUGCAUCCCAAAAACUAUUACAUUAAACAAUUAUUUUUUUCCUUUCUUCUAAUUGUUUAGUUUUCUCUUGCUCUCAUAUUUCUUUUUUACUAAUGUUAUAAAUUGAAAGCUGACUACAGAUUUUUAUCUUUCUUCACUUUUAAUAUGAAAUUUUAAGUCAUAAUAUUCCUCUAAGCACUGCUUUUGCAACAUCACACUUAUUUUGAUGUCUUGAAUUUUCUUUAUAAUUCACUUAAAAUAUUUUCUAAUUUUCUUUGUGAUAUUUUUCUCUGCCCUAUGCAUUUUUUCAGAAUCUGUAAUUUUCAAAUAUUUGGGAAUUGCCUAAAGAAAUUAUUUUAUUGAUUUUGAAUUUCUUAGUUUGGUGUUCAUAGGAUACAUUCUCUAUAAUUUAAGUCUUUUAAUACUGUUAUCAUAGAAAACCUUAUGGUUGAAGGAAAUUAUCUGACCUCUUUCAAUGCCAUGUAGCUGAAGUAUAGGAAGUUACCCAGAAACAGUUCUUGAAUUAAUUGAAACUGAAAACUAUUAUUCUCAGAAUUUAAAUUCAUCAAAUUAAACAUUCACAAGAAACAAUGUCGGGAAUGUAACAUAUCUCUUUAGCUCUAGACAUACAUAUUCUAAGAGAGUAAACAUUCAAUACAUUAUUUUAUGCUUCCAGAAUAUCACACUGACCUUCAUGCACUAAAACACCUAUAAUCAUUUUAACAUUUUUCUGAACAUCUUCAAGUUGCUGAUGAUUAGUUCAAACUUUGAAGAUGGAUGGUGUAGGGAAUAGAUUUAAUUUCAGUAUUUGAGGCAACCUGAGAAUACUACUGAAACAAAAAUACCGUGUUUCAUCUGCUUCAAAGGCCUACAAAUAUUUAAUACUGAAAUCUCCGAUUUUAAAUGUGGCAACCUUGGGAGGCCUUAUUUUACAGUAACUUGAUUUUUCAAAUUCUAGGAGAGGCUUGGGCUCUUUAUGAGUACUGGAAAUCUAGAGUGACAGGAAAUGAAAUAAAGUACAGUGAUGAUAGUGGCUAUUGUGUAAUUUAACAAAUCUACUUAGAAGAGGUUUUUCCCUUCAUAUGGAGAAAUUAUUUAUUACAUGUAAUUACUCCUGAAUAUAGAACAUUCACAAUCCCUUCCUUCCUUCCUUCCUUCCUUCCUUCCUUCCUUCCUUCCUUCCUUCCUUCCUUCCUUCCUUUCUUCCUUCCUUCCUUUCUCUUUCUUUCUUUUCUUUCUUUCUUUCUUUCUUUCUUUCUUUCUUUCUUUCUUUCUUUCUUUCUUUCUUUCUUUCUUUUUCUUUCCUUCUUUCUCUUUCUUUUCCUUCUCUUUCUUUCUUUCUUUCUUUCUUUCUUUCUUUCUUUCUUUCUUUCUUUCUUUCUUUCUUUUCCUUUCUUUCUCUCUUUCUUUCUUUCUUUCCCUCCUUCUUUCUUUCUUUCUCUCUCUCUCUCUCCCUCUCUCUCUCUCUCUCUCUUUCUUUCCUUCUUUCUUUCCUUCUUGAUGGAGUUGCCCAGUUGAUGGUUGUUGCCCAGGCUGGAGUGCAACAGCCUCAGCUCACCACAACCUCCGCCUCCCAGUUUCAAGCCAUUCUCCUCCCUCAGCCUCCCCAAGUAGCUGGGGUUACAGGUAUGAGCAACCAAGCAACGCCCAGCUAAUUUCAUAUUUUUAGUAGAGAUGGGGUUUCUCCGUGUUGUUCAGACUGGUCUCGAACUCCCUACCUCAGGUGAUCCGCCUGCCUCAGCCUCCCAAAGUUCUGGGAUUACAGGCGUGAACAACCAUACCCAGUCAGUAGCAUAUUUCAUAAUAAAUAAAAUAGACUUUCUGCAUAGAAGGCUAUAAUAAUUGAUAAUUAAAUUUAAUUACUCAAAAUUCCAAAUUCUGGCCAAAAAUCCUAUGUGUGAUUUUUUUAGGGUUGAUGAUAGAUUUUAAUAUUUGAUUAGGCUUAUAUUUUGAUUUACAAUUUCCCAAUCUAUUGUUCAUAUCUCUCAAGUAGUUCAGAACUCAUAGAAGAAAAAUUAUUUAUGAUACAGUUUCUGAUUUUGACACCAGAAACUAUGCUAAACCCUUUAUAGGAUGAAUUAUUUUCAUGAUCAAAAUUGACUUUUAUAGUAUGUUCUAUUUUAUCAGUUUUACAAAUGAGGCUUUAAUUAUUACACAAUUGCACUAUUUUUCAAAAAUCUAACAGAAUUAUUUCAAACUUUUAGAUGACAGCUUUAAAAAUAUGUAUUUUAUAAAAAAUGCAUUUAUUUUAAUACAGAUUAUAAUAAUAAAAAUGUAUGGCCUAAGGAAAUUUGCCUAUAAAUCAAUGUUUGUCUUUAAGGCCUUCACACUUUUUGCACCUAAGAUGUGCACUUUACUUUUGGUGUUUGUUUCUUGCUUAUUUCUUCUUAUUUUCUUUCUUUAUUCAGAAAGCAUUUAUUAAUCGAAUGACAACUCUAUUCUGGGGAUGGAAAAAUAUAGAAAUACAGACAAAAAGCUCAUAGAAAGACAAACUACCUUAUUACAAAUAAAUUUGGUGUUUAUUGGAGAAUAGAUGAUGUGUCAAAGUAUAGGCAUGCCCACAAUAGAAUGAUGUUUGAACAAAGUCUAGAAGAAUGUAAGUUCAUUAGGGCUGCAGAAAAGCAAAAAUGUGUAUACUAGGUAAAAAGAAAAACAUGAUCUAAAUCAUAAGAGGCUGUCAUGACUGGGAAAAUACCAAAUAUGAAUGGAAAUAAGUAUAAUUCUUAAGUUUAUCUUACUGUUCUCUUUUUUAAGCCUGGAAUUACUUUUGCUUAUCAGGUGAUCAUUGUGGGUCAUUUUUCCUUUUGGUAAUUAGGUUAUGCAUAUAUUGUUAUAUUUAAUUUAUUUAACAACUUUUUGAAGAGAAAGUAAGAGAAUUGACUUUGACCCUGUUUUACCAAAGAAAAACAAUGUCUGAAUUUUAUGACAUUUGGAAAAAACACAUGAGAAAAUGAUAACACUAAUUUAUAUAAAUCCUAAAGCUAAAGUACAAAUAUUAUGGAGGACAUAUUAGAGAAGAUAUACAUAAUUAUAAGAGAUAAAUUCUAUUUCACUGUUAUUCUUUCAUCUAAUGAAAACACAAUGAAAGUACUGAACAAAAAGAAGAAUAUUUUAACAUUAAGAUUAGUAGUAUUAGAGAAUAAGGAGACGUGAAUGGGCAUACUUGUUCAAAGAAGUCAGUCUAAGAGAUAAUGCAAAUUUAAUGUGAUGUAAUAUCAAGUGUCUACUUCAAAAGAAGUAAAAUUGCUUUCAGUGCCUGCUGAACUACCUAUAGAUUAUCUAUUUUAGACUCCUAAGUUUAAAAUUAACUUAAGAAUGGAUGAAUGACUAAGGUAAUAAAAAAUUUGAAAGCAGUGUUAUCUGAGGAACACAAAAGCGGUUGAAAGUUAAUAUUUGGAAUACAAUGGUGAAUUUUCUUCAAAUAUUUGAAAAUCUUUAUGUAGAAAAAGAAAAAUACUUGUUCUGUUUUUAUUCAGACAGUGGAAUUAGGAUGACUGUUGUUGAAAAGUAUAUUAAAACUUAUGAGAAUUCUAGAGUGGUAGUUAAUCAAAAAUAAAAUGUAUAAUAUGACAGACUGAUGAGCUUUCUUUUACUAAAAAAGAUACCAAUGAGACUGAUUCACAAUCUACAGUCUUGUAGAGGGAGACUGAUUUUGAAAAUGUAUGCCUGGUGUAAUUUAAAAAUUUUCACAUUAAGAAUAUGCAACUAAAGAUCAAAAGGUAUGCAUAAAAUAUUAAUUUACGUUUAAUUUACUAUGUUUUUAUUUAUCUUGCUUAAUCAUUUUAAGUUCAGGUUUAAUACAUUUGUUAUUUUCUUUGAUUGUUCAAAGUGUUAGAUGCUGAAUUCAAAUACUUUUAAUGCAUAUUAAUUUCCACAAACUUUAAUAGAACAUUAAGUUAAAAAUAUGCACUGACAAUUUUGAAAAAAUAAUAUAUUUAUGUGGUUAUUACAUGUAUCUAAUAUUUUCAGAGCAAAUGAGACAACUUCCUGAAACAUGGAGAAGGAAGGUGAUACAGCUUGCUUUCUCAAUCUACGAACAAAUGGAAAUACUAUUCUGGAUAAUUUGUAAUUAAAACUUUUAGGUUAAAAAAAAUUGGAAACAAGUAAAAUCAAGUAAUCUGGAAGCUGAAAUUAUGAUGACAAGGACCUAGACUGGGGCAGAAAUUCUGAACAAAGUUAAGGACAAUAGACUGUGCCCUGAGCCUGUAUAACUCAUAAAGAGAAAACUGAGAUUCUCAAUAAAUGCUGGGUAUCUAAAAUACAGUAACAUUCUCAUAAUAGGAACUAAAAUUAUCCCUUCUUACUGGGCCUGGUGAGGCAGAAAGGAGGUGUACAAUAGAUACAGACCUCUGAGAGACAGAGAGAAAAAAAUUUCCUUGUGAGAAGUCAAAAUCUCAAACCAGCGUAGGAGUUAGUGAAUCAAAAUGUAUUCCACCCACACAUGCAGGGAUCCAAAAAUGAAAAAUAACAUAGUGUCCAGAACUGUUAAAUUCUCCUGUGAGAGCAGACGGAAAAUUUAAAACUGCUCUAUGGAAAAGUUUUCUGAAAAAUGUAUUAACAGUAGACUUUCAUCAAAACAAAAAAUAACCAACCCAGCAAAUCUAUUUUAACUGAGCUUACAAUCAAAAAGAACAUAUCUUAAGAGAAUACAACAACAAAACACAACAAAACAAAACAAAGAAAAACUAAACUCAUUGUAAGGAAAUAUUAUAACUAUAACGCAUAAAAUAGCUCUCUCAAAGAAACACAAAACAAAAGAAGUCUAAAAAUAGAGUGAGUACAUGUAUUUUAAAAUUGUAAAAGAAUUUUAUUUUCUCCCUAGGCAACAAAAAGGAUAACAUUGAAAAAAAAUCAUUUUUAUAAAGAAAUAAAUAAACUAUCUUGAAAUGAAUACACAUUUUAUAAGCACCCAAUUUUCUGCAUCAAAUCUCUUUUCGUUCAAAAUAACUGGAUCCCUGCAGUGAAACCCUUUCUUAAUACAUCAAGGAUUUACUCCUCCAGAAACUCUUAUGCAGUAAUGUAUGUGUUAAUAAUAUUCAUGUAAUAAUGAAUUGAUUUUAAAAAGUCUUCUUGGGUAUAGAGAUUGAUUAAUGUUUCAACUUAAAAUUUAGAGUAUCUUUAAUCAUAUUUUUAACAAGUUUAUUUUAGUACAUUGUUAUGGCUAGCUCCUUAAAUAUGCUAAUAUAAUUAUACAGCAUUAGAAUAUCUGUGCAUCUAUUAAAUCACUUGUUGACAGAUUUGGAAACAUGUUUUCAAUAUGAGAGCAAUCUAUUAUAAAUUGAUAACACCAACACCUGAUAUCACACUAGGGUUGUUGCUGUUGAAAUGCCUUCUGUCUUUCAUAUUAACUCCUAGUACUGCUUUAGCAAGUGGUAAAUUUUAAAUAGUCUAAUUAUUAUUAUUAUUGGCAUCAUGUAGUGGAAUUUAUGGCCUAAUUAUAUUUUGACAGAUAAAGAAACAGUAAUCUCAGUUACAGUAAAAUUCUGACAGCAUGUCUAAAGGACUAAUUUAGGCACUGGCCACCCUAUAUCACGAGUAGCUAAUCUUGGAGGUCACAUUUUGUCUGUCUUGCUUAUGUAAAAUCAUCUAAAAUAACUACCAGGAUGGAUUUGUUGCAGGACUUUUCCUUAGUUCAGCUAAAGACUGGUUUCUUUGUCCCACAGCCAGGAAAAUCUGGGCUUGCAGACAAUUUGAAUGGUGAGUAAGACAGGGUUUUAUUGGGUGAGAAAGAAGAAAAAGGGGAAACAGGGACUCUCGCUAGGCCAGGAUCCCAGCUGGAGUGCUUCCCGCCUUGCCAUUUAAAUCCCUGGUUCCAUAAAAGAAGAAGAAGAGCCAGGCUCCUCCCUGCUGCAAAUGUCGUGAACUUCCCAAGGCUCUACCUCAGUGGGCAGGCUGGUUGAAGUCUCUCCAGGGACCACUUCCCACCUGACUGGCUCAGAAUAAAGUUGUGUAAAAUGGAAUGAAGAAUGAUGGGUAUGUAUAUCUCACUUGUAAUAAACCAGCACAAAAUGUAGUGUCCUCUCCCCUUCCAAAAAGCUGUUUAUUGUCUGUCAUUAUUCUGUGUUUUAGCACGGCAUUCUUAUCUGAUUUGGCCAAGCUGUGACAGAUUUACCUAGAAUGGGUUAACUCAUCUAACUCAUACAUCUGGAUUCUCAGCUAAAAAGGCAGGAUGUCUGAAGCCACUCUCCAUUUGAUCUCUUAUUAGUCAAUGGAUGGAUGCAUCUUGAUUAGUUCAUGUAGUGAAAGAAGAAAUUCCAUCAGAACUUGAGGAAAUGUUCCAAUGAGCAAAUACUUUUAAUUUCUCUACCUGUGUUAUAUCUACGGGUAUCCUACAGAACAAGGCAAGUUAUACGGCCAAACCCACAUUCAAAAUGAAAGAGAAUUACCCAAUGUGUGUAUAGAAAGUGACGCUUUAUAGAACAUAUGUUUAAAUAUUUCUAUAGGGUAGAUUAAUAGGGGAAAAAUAUAGUUUAUGCGUGUUUUAUAAUUUUUUACAUUGACCAAUAAGAUCAUCAAACUAAAACCUUUUGCUCCAAUUAAAUGCUAAGCAAUCAAGUAUCUCAUUUUAUUUUGCUUUUGUAUACAUACUUUUCUAGAUUGAGAUAAAUCACUGAUCAGGAAUCUCAAAAUUUGCAUUUGUACUUCAUAUUUUAAACAAAAAAUGGAGAUUAUAGAUUAUAUGUCAGUGUUUAAAAAUAUAAUUUAAAUCUUGCUGAAUCUGACUCACUCAGAUUCACUUGCUAGACAAAAAUAAAUAAAUACAUCAAAAUUUUAAAAAUAUAUAUUUAAAGCCCUUCCUGUGUGGCUGCUAUCCUUUUAUGACAUUUUUGUGAUUUCUCUCUUUAUAUGUGGGUCAAAAAUUAUUUGAACUUCCCAUUCAUUAAUCAAAGAUGACUUUCAGUUUAUUAAAUCCAACAGCCCCCUGUAAAUUAUAAGCAAAAACUCAUCUGGUUCUUCUAUAUCUGUAUUAAUGUGUAUUUUUUUCUUCUAAUAGGUUCUUUAUCUGUCCCUUAGAUAUUGUUUAUUUCAAGAUUCCUGUCAAGAUCUAUUUUCUUCUCAAAUAUGCUCUACCGGAGUAAUCUUAUGGUUCCUGGCACAGUGAUUGGGAACACUGCAGUUUGCCUCGAUCACUCAUACUACUACCGCUUAUUUGUAGGGUGGAAAACCUGAAAAGACUGUAGGCUACUACUCCAAUCCUAAAGCAGGGACGUCAUUCAGAAAGAAUCAUGCGACUGCUUCUGCCCCAAACUCAGAACCAUUGCUUAGAGAUUUUGCCCAGGGUGAAAUGCAGGAAAAACAAACAAACAAACAAACAAAUAAACAAACAAAACUCUGAAAGUUUCCCAAAGAAAUGGAUUUUAUUAAAACAGAGUUUGAAAAAGUUAAAACAUAAGGGUACCCUCAAAAACAAUGGGAAAUUGUUGACAGGUAACUAAGAGAAGAAGAGAAGGGUGGUAACUUCAUGAGAUAUACAAGUUAAACCAUUGGUCCAGUAGUUUGCCAGAAAGAAUGAUGAACACACUGCUAAGAAAAUGCCUUUCUGGGGCCGAAAAAAACCAAAAUCUUACCUCAAGAGCUGCCCCUUCAAAAUAAUCUAUAUUUAAUUGGUAUUAAACUAAUAAUAAAGAAAAGAAGCCGCUCAGAAAGAAAACUCAGACUCAUAUGGCUUCCCUGGUGAUUCUCCCAAUCAUUUAAAGAAGAAUUAAUACCAAUACUUCACAAGUUCUUCCAAGAAAAAUAGAGGAACAUGUCCCAGAAAAUUUUAUGAGGUCAGUAUUAUGUCGACAUCAAAUCCAAAAAAAAAAAAAAAAUCAACAAGGAAACAAAAUAAAAACUACAGACCAAUAUUUUUUAUGAAUGCAGCCAAAAAAUUUCUCAACAAAAUACUAGCAAUAUAGAAAAAGAAUUCUGAACCAUAUCCAAGAGGGAAUUUUUUCAUAAUUGAAAGUUAGUUUAAUAUCUUAAAAUCAAUUAAUGUAAUAAACCAUACCAAAUGAAUAAAGGGAAAAAUUACAUGAUUAUUUUAAUAGAGGUAGAAAAAGCAUUUGACAAACUCCACCAAUUCUUUAUCAUAAAGACACUCAACAAAGUAGGUAAAGAAGAUAAAUUCCUUAACCUGUUAAACAGCAUCUAGGACAAACCCACAGCAGACAUCAAAGUUAAGGGUGAAGGAUGGAAUUCUUUCCUCGUCUUAACCAUCCACCAAUGUACACUUCAUGAGUAAACUGUAUAUUUGGUUUGAUAAAA
Homo sapiens (human) is the source of this 10041-nucleotide long non-coding RNA. RefSeq lists it as uncharacterized. The record is from RefSeq and is a predicted model, not a curated record. The transcript is spliced from 2 exons. NCBI's taxonomy places the organism in Eukaryota, Metazoa, Chordata, Mammalia, Primates, Hominidae.